This is a long non-coding RNA of Uranotaenia lowii, 1092 nucleotides long. RefSeq lists it as uncharacterized. The record is from RefSeq and is a predicted model, not a curated record. NCBI's taxonomy places the organism in Eukaryota, Metazoa, Arthropoda, Insecta, Diptera, Culicidae. The transcript has 3 exons.
GAAAUCAUUGAUUUUAAACAAACAAAAUCAUCCAGCAAGGAUUCGUCGUUGUAGUUUUAUAAUAAACCUUCGUAACAUACAUUCGUUAUGGCCCAAAACUCUAUAAGUAAUCAUUUCUUGAAGUUUCAGGUUACUCCUCGUCUGUUCUCGAUGCUAUCGGUUUUUUUGUAGACAGAUAUUUUCAAAGUAAUACUCGGAGUUAGCUCUGUAAAAAGGAUGAAGCGAAAAAAGAAAAAACAUCACUGGUGUGAUUUAACUGCAAUGCUGGCUGACGUUAUCAUCGUAACUUCCGGGUGGCAGGAGACAUCAUUUGGAAGAUCAUGUAAGUGAAUGCAAGUGUUUGAAGAUUUAUGUGAUACUAAAUACAAAAAUUACGAGAAUUUAAUUCCACAGGUUCAUAUUGAUAAAUAUGCAGUGCAGCCAAAUUGUUUUGGUUAUUGAUGACGGCAAUGUUUUCACCCGGAAACCAUCCCAGCUGAACGUAAAGUAACCAACAUAAGGAAUAAUAUCUAUAGUACCAUUCGGCGCACUCGGCGAGGCAAUUACAAUCGGAAACCGAUAAGACCAAGGAGAACAGGAGAAUUUCCCGACGAUGAGGUGGUGUAAAACGAUUAUUCUUGUCGAAUAAAGAAGCUUGGUGCGAUGACGAGCUUACUGUAAAUGUCAUGAAAAAUUUUACCUUGAAUUGUACUCAAAAUUCAACACUUAUCGGAAGUUGAUCUGGAAGAGGCUCUACAGACAACCGCUUAGGCCCCACCUAUGAGAUGUUUACUUAAGUAUCAGCAUAAGAGGGACAACAUAAUAGGACCAGCACGGAAUUCUCCACCGGUGUUGUCCGGGAGGAAGGGCUCUUUAAGCCACAAUUGCAAAACCAACUCGAAUAGUCUUAAGCAAACAAGUAUCUGAGGAUUUAUGGCCGCAGUACAGCCAGUGAUGAUACUUCCAAUACCGAAGAAAAUGAACGGACGAUGAAAAAAAUCUAUCGUUGGGAACACCAUCAUCGAUGACUGGGAAAAAGGAAAAGGAGUACCAAUUUCAAACGUCGUCGAAGACUUCAAUAUUAAAACACGAUAGAAGCCGUUAAAAUUAAAA